Juglans microcarpa x Juglans regia is the source of this 1426-nucleotide RNA transcript. It is a transcript of the gene named lipoprotein NlpI, with no coding region annotated. The record is from RefSeq and is a predicted model, not a curated record. Lineage: Eukaryota; Viridiplantae; Streptophyta; Magnoliopsida; Fagales; Juglandaceae. The transcript is spliced from 8 exons.
UUGGAGAAUUCUGACCAUAAAUGACUCUUGUACGCCUUAUCUCUCUCUCUCUCUGCUGCUCUUUAUUGCCCUCGUUCCCACACUACUGAGUUGCCAACUCCAAGGUUGCCACUUUUCCAUUCAUGGCCAUACCCCGCAUCCUUAAACCCGCCAUUCUAGCGUCCCCAUCUUCACAUUUCACUCCCUCUGUACCCUCACUUCCUUUUCCAUUCAAAACCCACUCUAAGUCACUCUUCUUCACCAUCUUUCCUUCGGGAAUUCACGGCCACCAUACCCCACCACCAACAUUAUCCAGAAGAUUGUUCCUUCCUUCAGUUUCUGGAAUCUGGGAUGCCUUGACCAGCGGUAACAAUGCACGUGAAGCCGGUGUUGCCAUCCGCCGUGGAAUGCUGCUCUUUCGGCAGGGUGAUGUUCAGGGUUCUUUAGUGGAAUUCGACAAGGCAAUUGAGUUGGAUCCUCGUCAAAAGGCAUAUCUUUGGCAAAGGGGGCUCUCGUUAUACUAUCUUGAUAGGUUUGAAGAAGGGGCAGAACAAUUCAGGUUAGAUGUUGCACAGAAUCCAAACGAUACGGAGGAGUCCAUAUGGUGCUUUCUUUGUGAAGCUCAGCUAUAUGGAAUUAGUGAAGCAAGGAAACGAUUUCUUGAGGUUGGCAAAGAUCCACGUCCCGUCAUGCGAGAGGCUUAUAACAUGUUUAAAAAUGGUGGGGAUCCUGAAAAGCUUGUUGCUGAAUUUUCUAAUGGCCAGGAGAAUGAAAAAUUUUAUGCUUCUUUGUAUGCUGGGCUUUAUUAUGAAUCUGAGAGUUCAGCAAUUUACGUCUGUGCAGAAAAAAGCUGAUGCAGCCAAGCUUCACGUACUCGCUUCAUGCCAAACUCCUUAUGGACAGAGGUCUGAUGAUUAUAUGGCUUCACUUGCGAAGGUUCACUGCAUCUGUCGAAAUUGGAGCUUGAACUAAAUUAUUUAAGCUCAUGCUUGAAGUUGCUUUCUUCACUACUUUAGCUGCUCUCCCAAGUCCUUACAAAUAUUUAGAUAAUAUUCAUAAUCAAGAGUAAGGCUUUGUUGAGGGAAAUCAAGUUGGGUGUUAUAACUACAAAGAAUCUAUUUCAAGAGUAUGAUUUAUUUUGCCUUCCUUCUCUACUUAGAUUCGGAGUACCACGAGAGAGAUCUAUGCAGCACUGAUCACAUUGAGCCAAUGCAGCCGUGCCAUUAGAAGCCUUUCAAGUGAAUCGUCAUAGCAAGAUCUGUUGUUUUCUGUUGUUCUGUUUAAUGUCAAGAGUCAAGUUUAUGAUUGAUAAAAUCACUGGUUUCCAUGCCCAGUUGGUUACAGAUACUUUACAUAACAUUGGGAGAUUUUACAUUUUAUAAUCAUGUUAAGAUGGUUUAGAAUGCGAUUCUUUUAACAAUGGUUUAUUAUUAGCUUUUUCAUCCCA